AGUCAUGCCCAGCCUUCCUGUGGGGAAAACAACCUGUUGGCUCACAGUAAAAACUUCACCCUUUUUCAAACGCAAUUUUCUUUUUGUUUUAGUCAAUUACACAACGACAUCUAAGAAAAGGGCAACAUUGCCUGCUCCCUAGCGUUCUCACCACUUAGAAAAACCCUCAAGCUCUUUUUCAUGACGGUGCCAGCAGCCAGCCAGUGAGUGAGAGGGAGGGGCACCAACGUUGUGUGUGAAGAGGAAUCAUUGUCUGGAGAGGAAUGCCGCUGAAACCUGUUCCCGGCCAAACACGGUGUGGUGAGGCAUCCAGGGUUCUACUCAGAUUAGAGAGAGAGCCAUAUCACUGGACACACCCUGUGUCCUGCCCUCAGAUGGUAUCACACACAUACACAUACACACACACACUUAUCCUGCUUCCUAUUCUAUUUAUUUUUUUAAGUGUAUUUAAAAAAAAUAAAAAUAAAAUGAAUUGAACUUUUAUUUAACUAGGCAAGUCAGUUAAGAACAAAUUCUUAUUUACAAUGACGGCCUACACCGGCCAAACCCGGACGACGCUGGGCCAAUUGUGCUGGAUUGCAAAAAGGCAAAAAUUUGGUGUCGUCCUAUUCUUUAACUUAGAUUUUAGUCGUAUUCUUUUCAAAGUUAAAAGAAUACGACUAAAUGGAAUUCAAUCAAACUUUAAAUAAACUUUUAUUUUGAUUUAGUCCUAUUCUUUAAUUUAGAUUUUUGGUUGAGAUGGAGACAUGAAUCCAACAGAUCAAUUAUUCCCUGUAAGAUUACAUUUGAAAGCAACUAAAGCUUGAAAACGUACAGUACGCCUAUAUAUAUAUAUAUAUUAUAUUUUUGGUUGAACCCUCGGUUAAAUUGAAACAAUAGCUGUUGAUGACUUUGCCAGUCCUAUAUACUAAAUAGCAUCAUUGAUUAUAUAUUAAUUAUAAAGUAUGGUUAGAUUUCAUUAGCUCUGUUAAACCUACCCUUUGGAAUGACUUUGGUAGCAACAGUGAAUCUAUUUAGUCAUUAAUCAUUUUCACUACAUUGGUAGUAGUCAGUAACAAAUAUCAAAGCUAAGCAUGACUGGGCUUGGUUAAAACUCUUGAUGGGAAACCAAUUGCUAGCUGUAGAUAGAUCAACUCUCCAGUAGGAAGUACUACAGAGCAUUUUUUCUGAUAGUUGAAGAUCUGACAUUGUUUCAAAGUUACAAAUUCAUUUUUUUUUUAUUGUCUAUGUGUAGUUGCCUGUCAGCACUCGUGUCUUAUUUUUUGUCUUAUUGUCACGGUUGUUUGGUCUCCUCGCUAUGACGAACGUGACACACGGAUGCUAGGGAUGUUGCAAUCACAACCAAGUGAGAACCUAAGGGAAGGGUGAGGGAGGCAGGAUGACAAGAUAGAAGGGCAGGACUUCUACAGAAAUUAUUAUUCAAUGUUUUUCCGUAUGUACGUACGGUCACUGUGGUGACAACGUCGUUGAUGUACUUAUUAGUGGUAAACUCCUCAAUGCCGUUGGAUAAAUCCCAGAACAUCUUCCAGUCUAUGCUAGAAAAACAGUCCUGUAACUUAGCAUCCACUUCAUCGGACCACUUCCGUAUUGAGCGUGUCACUGGUACUUCCUGUUCCAUUUAUUACUUUCUAAGCAGGGAUCAGGAAGAUAUAUUUAUGGUUAGAUUUGUCAAAUGGAGGGCAAGGAAGAGCUUUGUAUGUGUCUCUGUGUGUGGAGUUAUUUUUUGCACGUGACAUGCUGGUAGAAAUGAGGUAAACCAGAUUUGUUGUUAAUAAAGAGAUAGACAUCCCUACCUAUUAGCUUACCCGACGCAGCCAUUCUGUCCUGCUGAUGUAUAGAAAAACAGCUCGAUUUAUAUUAUCCAUGUCCUUAUUCAGCCACGACUCGGAGAAACAUAGGAUAUUACGGUUUCAGAUCACAUUGAUAGUAUAGCUCGAACUGAGUUUAUUUUCCAGUGAUUGCACCUCUGCCAAUAGAACGGAGGGUAGAGGCGACUUAUCCACUCUCUCUGAAUUAGUCUCGUCAGGUAUCCUGCACGCCGGCCUGUCUAGCACUGUCUCCUACUUUAGUGUUGGGGAUUUGGACCUGGUACGUGAUAAUCAAUAUGUCUUUUAGACUCCUGCUAAUUGACGUAGAAGUCCUUGUCCAAAUGGAAGUUAGUGAUAGUUGUUCUGAUGUCCAAAAGCGCUUUUUGGUCAUAGAAAAUGUAGUUUUGAUUUUAAGCUUCAAAACAUCUUGCUCAGCUAACAACUACAUGUUUGUUUUUUACUUUAUAAAUUCUAAUUAUAUUUUCGAGGCUCCACAUGUUGUCAUGGAAAACAACCAAUGAGCAACUCCACCAUAAAUCCAGCACAUAUUGAACAUUGAGAUUGCCUAAAGGGAAAGUUUUCCCAAAAGGGAACGCCUACUCUGUGAAGUGCAUGUGCAAUAACUCAAUUUGUCCUUGCACUCCUUCUAAACAAUUCAAUUAAAAAAAACUUUUGCAAGGAGUAAAGUCUACAAAAUACAGUCCAUUCUGUUUGUUCCAGAUUAUAGUUUUGGAAAAUCUAAGGUAGAUCAAAUGUUUCAUUGAUGUGCAAAAGGUCGGCCAAAAUCCAUCUCGCUCCAUUUUCUCCCAGACUCCCACUGCCGGCCACUGGGCUUCCUUUCAUCACUGACCAAGACGCACCUCCAACAACCUCACAGAAUUAUUCCCCAAAACAAUUACAGAUUCUCUCAACCAGUGGCAUAUGUUACGUUGGCCCAGAAGAACCCAUCGGAUGUCGCUGCCACCGAUAGUUGGCAAAAUGCCCAUAAAAUGUCCAUCGAGUAAAAAUGACUUUUUCAUGGAAAUUGAAAUUUGUUAUGAAUCAGAUACUUUGAACCAUUUACUUAGUAUGUGUUCACAAGUCUUAAAUUAGUCAAUUUAGUUUUUACACUGUUCACGUUCGGUGCCUGGCUAGCCAACUGACAGCUCCCGCAUUGGCUUAGGCUCGUAGUGGGUUCCUUGAAUUAUUUAUAGUACAACUAGGCUAUGUAUCAACAGAUCAGAGCGCAGAUUGAUUCUAAUUUUCCAUAUCAUUAUAGUGUUGAUGCGGAUGCAGGGAGUUUAUCCGAGAUUGCUUUCCUAGCCUAACUGAAAGCUAAAUCCAUUCAGAUGGCCCAAAUAAAAUGGAGUUGACAGUGAUCAAAAGACAAACAGUGAUGAAUAUUUUGUACCCUACUUCAUGUUAAACGAUAGCCUACCCUAUUGUUAAAACAUUAGAAGUGAGAGACAGGUCAGUCACCCUGUCCUAAUUCACAUGAAAUGAACCUUGUAUUUGACUGCACCCUCCCAAUGAUUCAAGCAAAGGCAGUGGAUUAUAUGAAGUCCUUUAUCUCUGUUAAACUAUAAUCUAUAAAUCUUUGAAAUGAAAAGAAAUCACGGAGAAACUGCCCGCAUCCGCACCUUGUGAAGAUGGUUAAAGUAUUCAGGUGCACAUCCCACUCUACGUCACCCCCUCCCCCGCGCUUCCCGCUGUGUCCGAAAUGAGGACGUCAACUUCAAAAAUUGACAGCUGUCAAUCAUCAGGAUGGCACCUUUUUCAGGUAGUGAAGUUGCUCAUUGAAGUUGCUAAUUAGAUCUAAUUAAUAUGAGAAUUGUUGAUAGUGGUUCUGAUUUGCCAGAAUUGAUAAAUGAUUAUUUUACGAGGGCCCUGCUGCUGCUGAAGAUGAUGAUGAGAGAGGAAGUCAAAGUGACAGUGAUGGCUCUUCUUCCCAAAAACGUUGUUUGACCAAUUCAGAUGAGGAAAACAAUCAGACGGAUGAUGAUAAAGAACAAGGUUAACAUACUGUGAGGGGUCAGGGUCUGUGAAGAACAAAGAGUUUGCAGACAGUGAAGUCACACAGCAAAGUCUGCUUAAAGAUGAAGAGUCUAUGCUAGAGAAAAAAAAAGUGAUUGUUCCAAAAGGACUGGAUACAAAAUGACCAUGGUAUCGCUAUGACAAGAUAAGGCCUUUCACCGCUGAAGAGUGUAGGGACAUCACCACCCCUUUCCCAUCAGUCCCUAAGCCUGGGAGGAGGGCUUACUGGGAACUGAAGAACUCAUCAGUUUUGCACACACCAACACGCACACACACACACACAAUAACAACUCAACUGAUUGGCUGAAAGAAAUGUUUUGUCAUACCCGUGGUAUACUGUUUGAUAUACCACAGGUAUGACAAAACAUGUAUUUUUACUGUUCUAAUUAUGCUGGUAACCAGUUUAUAAUAGCAAUAAGGCACCUCGGGGUUGCGUAACUUGCAUUGCGCCAAAGAAAAGCCCUUGGCCAUGUACCACACCUCCUCGUGCCUUAUUGCUUAAUUAUAUAAUCAUAGUGUAAUGAUUGUAUAAUUACAUAUGGCCUUUAAUAUAAUUAUUAUAGUUAAUUGUUUGUGAUCUUUUACACUGUAUCCAACUUUUAAAUGUAAACGGAUGUCAAAAAUAAAUAAAUAA
Molecule: long non-coding RNA, 4455 nt
Organism: Oncorhynchus masou masou (cherry salmon)
Lineage: Eukaryota; Metazoa; Chordata; Actinopteri; Salmoniformes; Salmonidae
Exons: 4
Source: RefSeq, a predicted model, not a curated record